RNAcentral lists this transfer RNA (76 nucleotides) under Candidatus Annandia adelgestsuga. Its description in RNAcentral is "tRNA-Met". It matches the Rfam family "tRNA". From Rfam's summary of the family: Transfer RNA (tRNA) molecules are approximately 80 nucleotides in length. Their secondary structure includes four short double-helical elements and three loops (D, anti-codon, and T loops). The record is from RNAcentral. Lineage: Bacteria; Pseudomonadati; Pseudomonadota; Gammaproteobacteria; Enterobacterales; Enterobacteriaceae.
UAGCGGGGUGGAGCAGCGCGGUAGCUCGUCGGGCUCAUAACCCGAAGGUCGUUGGUUCAAAUCCAACCCCCGCAAA